GACGAACGCUGGCGGCGUGCUUAACACAUGCAAGUCGAACGGAAAGGCCCUGCUUUUGUGGGGUGCUCGAGUGGCGAACGGGUGAGUAACACGUGAGUAACCUGCCCUUGACUUUGGGAUAACUUCAGGAAACUGGGGCUAAUACCGGAUAGGAGCUCCUGCUGCAUGGUGGGGGUUGGAAAGUUUCGGCGGUUGGGGAUGGACUCGCGGCUUAUCAGCUUGUUGGUGGGGUAGUGGCUUACCAAGGCUUUGACGGGUAGCCGGCCUGAGAGGGUGACCGGCCACAUUGGGACUGAGAUACGGCCCAGACUCCUACGGGAGGCAGCAGUGGGGAAUAUUGCACAAUGGGCGGAAGCCUGAUGCAGCAACGCCGCGUGCGGGAUGACGGCCUUCGGGUGGUAAACAGCUUUCGCCUGUGACGAAGCGUGAGUGACGGUAAUGGGUAAAGAAGCACCGGCUAACUACGU
Molecule: ribosomal RNA, 467 nt
Filed under: uncultured bacterium
Lineage: Bacteria
Description: partial 16S ribosomal RNA
Rfam family: Bacterial small subunit ribosomal RNA
Source: RNAcentral